UACGUAGGGACCAAGCGUUGUUCGGAUUUACUGGGCGUAAAGGGCGCGUAGGCGGCAAUUCAAGUCAUCUGUGAAAUCUCCGGGCUUAACUCGGAACGGUCAGAUGAUACUGCUUCGCUAGAGUACAGAAGGGGCAAUCGGAAUUCUUGGUGUAGCGGUGAAAUGCGUAGAUAUCAAGAGGAACACCUGAGGUGAAGACGGGUUGCUGGGCUGAUACUGACGCUGAGGCGCGAAAGCUAGGGUAGCAAACGGG
This 253-nucleotide ribosomal RNA is filed under the name uncultured bacterium. RNAcentral describes it as "partial 16S ribosomal RNA". It matches the Rfam family "Bacterial small subunit ribosomal RNA", at positions 524 to 776 of the family's 1533-position model. The record is from RNAcentral.